GGUGGGUUGGCGGAGUGGUUACGCACCGGAUUGCAAAUCCGUGAAGAUCGGUUCGAUUCCGAUACCCACCUCCA
RNAcentral lists this transfer RNA (74 nucleotides) under Paracoccus stylophorae. RNAcentral's name for it is "tRNA-Cys". It matches the Rfam family "tRNA". From Rfam's summary of the family: Transfer RNA (tRNA) molecules are approximately 80 nucleotides in length. Their secondary structure includes four short double-helical elements and three loops (D, anti-codon, and T loops). Lineage: Bacteria; Pseudomonadati; Pseudomonadota; Alphaproteobacteria; Rhodobacterales; Paracoccaceae. The record is from RNAcentral.